RNAcentral lists this long non-coding RNA (1110 nucleotides) under Capra hircus (goat). Its description in RNAcentral is "lncRNA (ENSCHIG00010004297.1)". Lineage: Eukaryota; Metazoa; Chordata; Mammalia; Artiodactyla; Bovidae. The record is from RNAcentral.
UGGACAGCAGCAGCUCUCCCCUUCAGCACGCGCCACCUCCUGCGGCCGCCUCGGCGCCAGCCCCUGGGUCGCGCCUGAGGGCGCCGGGGUCCCGCGGCGCAGCUGGCCCUGCCUUGCUUGCCGCCCUCCACCGCCUUGGGCGAGAGAUUGCCAGCCUAAACCUGCAGCGUGUAGAGGCCAAACCUUCCCCACCCCGGCACUCGAGCGUUGUGUUCUCCAGGGAUCCCCACUUUAGGGGACAAGGGGCAUUUUUAGUCUACGGCGUGACCCUCUUAGAGGAAAUGCGGUGCCGAGACCCUUAGGAACAAGGUGUCUAUUCUCUGCUUAAACGGACGAAGACUUCGGUUCAACUCUCUGCCAGACCAUUGGAGGAUUCUUUAUGCAAAUAAGCUCUUUAGCCAUCCGGACGACGNNNNNNNNNNNNNNNNNNNNNNNNNNCCUGGCCCCUCACCAGUUGGAAAGCCAAGCUAAGGGGAGAUCGGAAUGUUUGCUUACCUUUUCACCUCUGAGGAAGUCUUGGCUUUUACCCUGAUCAGUGUCAACCUGGCAGAGCAUCUGCAGGGGCCUCCAGGAAGGUUGUGGAGUCCGGGUAGCCUAUUCCACACGAGUCCCAGUCAUCCUGACACACAAGACUGUCCAUGGUGUCGCUGAGCUGGCUCUGUUGUUCUCUCCACCUCAGGCUUAUCACCAUUGACCUGUGCUCAAUUAAUACCAGGGAGUUGAUGGAGUGAUUGGACUGACUGCUCAAUGAGGAUGCUGAAGUUCCCAUGGGCAAUAGACUGGAAGAGUGGGCGUGGAGGAGAUGAAUCCUGUCCAGGUGCCAGCCAUCCAGGAAUAAAGAAGCGUUUCCAGAAAGAGUAAUCAAGCUGACUCAAAAGUACUUGGCACACAGGUGUGGACCUUGAGUCCCAAGCAGCGCACCUCUUGUAGUGACCACAAGGGGGCGGCAGAGGGCACAGUCCAGGUAUCAAGCUGUAGAUAAUGGCACCUGGUCAGCUAACAGCCCUGCUGGGAAGGAGAUAUUGGUCUAUGUGAUUUGCACAGGAUAAAGUGGGCUUCUUACUAGAAGUCCUGAAAGCAAGGUGCCUAGACCAAGGUUGGGAAAGCCAG